Salvia miltiorrhiza (redroot sage) is the source of this 994-nucleotide long non-coding RNA. RefSeq lists it as uncharacterized. The record is from RefSeq and is a predicted model, not a curated record. The transcript is spliced from 2 exons. Lineage: Eukaryota; Viridiplantae; Streptophyta; Magnoliopsida; Lamiales; Lamiaceae.
GGGGUGUAAGUGAGUCGAGCUAGCUCGCGAGCUACUCGGGAUCGACUCGGAAAUUACUCGAAAUCGACUCGAUGUUAAUCGAGUCGAGCUCGAGCUCGAGCUACUCGACUAUAUACCGAGCCCGAGUUCGAGUUUCUUGAUACUCGACUCGUUAGGCUCACGAGCCUAAUCGAGCUCAAAUAAUUAUAUAUAUAAUAUAUAAUAUAUAAGCCCAAAAUUAAAUAUAUUUCAAAGCCCACAAAGAUGGCCCAAUUCCUAAGCCCAUCCUAACACAACUAGUGAAUUUGAAUUAAACAAACCCUAACUCACAACAGUCAACAGCUGCCGCCCACCCCCAAUCUCUCAUCUCUCUCUCUCGGCUGGCCGGUGACACGCACUCCGGCACUCGACGCGACGGCGGUUCGGCCUUUCCGGCGAAGGUCCGGAGAGCUUAACAGCAGCAGUAGUGCAGCACGCACGGUUCAGUGCGAUUCUGCGCUGCACGACCUCCAUCCACCAUUCCCGCCGUUUCUUCUUCCCACCAGACACUUUUCCACCGUCGCCCACUGUCAUCUCCGUUCACUCUGCUCAGCGGUCAGCGCGGUCUCUUCUUUUCUGCGCUAAUCAGUCGGCCGCAAAAGACAUCAGCAUCAUCUGGAUCGAGCUUGCUCCUCCGACUGCCAUUUCCCAGCCCACCGCGACAGCAGCAGCGACGCCGCGACGGCUCUGCCCUCCUCGGCGCGACAGUAGCAGCAGUGCAGCAGCCUUUAACAUGGUUGGUGUUGCCGUGUUGGUAUUGGAGAGACGACUUGGUGUUGCCGAUUCGGAAGCUGCAAAUUUAUAUUUUUAUGUUGUACUAUAUUUCAUUUAAGACUUGUUACUUUUUGAAUUUUUGAUGCCUUUAAACUAUUUGAAAGUGCAUUUUUAUGCUUUCGAUGUUUUGGAUAUCUAAGAUUUGUUAUAAUUGAUUUGGAGAAAGACUUUUGGUAAUGAAAUGAUUUGUAAUUUUAUUCAA